UGCCAGACUCCUACGGGAGGCAGCAGUGGGGGAUAUUGCACAAUGGGGGGAACCCUGAUGCAGCGACGCCGCGUGGGUGAAGAAGUAUUUCGGUAUGUAAAGCCCUAUCGGCAGGGAAGAAAUUGGACGGUACCUGACUAAGAAGCCCUGGCUAACUACGUGCCAGCAGCCGCGGUAAUACGUAGGGGGCAAGCGUUAUCCGGAUUCACUGGGUGUAAAGGGAGCGUAGACGGCCAUGCAAGCCUGGAGUGAAAGCCCGGGGCCCAACCCCGGGACUGCUCUGGGAACUGUGCGGCUGGAGCGCGGGAGGGGCAGGCGGAAUUCCUGGUGUAGCGGUGAAAUGCGUAGAUAUCAGGAGGAACACCGGUGGCGAAGGCGGCCUGCUGGACUGCAACUGACGUUGAGGCCCGAAAGCGUGGGGAGCAAACAGGAUUAGAUACCCGGGUA
RNAcentral lists this ribosomal RNA (447 nucleotides) under uncultured bacterium. Its description in RNAcentral is "bacterial SSU rRNA". It matches the Rfam family "Bacterial small subunit ribosomal RNA", at positions 329 to 792 of the family's 1533-position model. The record is from RNAcentral.